UCUGCCUGCAGCUAGACCAGGAAGAAAGGAGACUGAGCAGAGGAAAUGAAAGAGUAAAGGAGAGGAGAGAGUGGGUAGGACACAAAGCUGAGGUGACUGAAGCAGCAGGAAGUAGGCAGGGCAUGAAGAAUUGGGAUUCAAAGCCCUUGAAUUUAGUUCCCAACUUCACUUAUGGGGCAAUGCUCCAAGUCACUCAGUCACCCUGAACUUCAGCUGGAGAAGGGGAACAGGAAUAAUGCCUAUCUUCCAGGAGUGUUCUGCACAAAACUGAAGGCACAGAUGAAAAAGCACUCUGCAAAUUAAAAGAGAAGGAUGGAUAGAGAAAAGCAUCAUUACAAAAGUGAAAUGUGUGAAUUUUAUUCUGGCUUUGAACAUUGAGUAGACGAAGAAGACAAUUCCAGACGGAGGAAACUCCACAAGAAAUAUCAUGGAAAUUUGAAAGAACACAGUGGGCUUGGGAAGAGAGAUCUCAGUGGUGGAAGCACCAUCAUCCCAAGGAGACUUAGGUUUGAAAGAAACAGCCACGGUUUGCAUGGUGUUCCAUGGUUUGUUUCUACCUUGCUGUGCAUGACCUCCACUGCUAAGGUCAUUUAUGGCCCAAGAUGAUUACUCCAGCUCCAGCCAUCACAUCUGUAUUCCAUCCUGCAGAAAGGAAGAAAGAAGAAAAAGACAAGGCCCUGCUCUGAGGAGUGAAGACACAAUCCAGCAGGCAGGAGGGAUGGCUAAGUUCAAAGUCUUGAGAAGUGCCCCUCAUGGACACCCCAGGGUGCCCAUCUCCAGGUUACCACCAGGUGCUUCCAAGACCAAGAUAACCAGGCAAUCAUAGUAGAUGCAUCAAUGCACCCUUGCCCAAGGGCCUAGACAAGAGGAGGAAGGAAAGGAGGAGCACGUGCACAAAGCUAAGGAGGUGAUUAACAACAUGAUACAGUAUUGUUUAGCUUCGCAUGAAUUUUAUCACCUUGCCUAGAACCAGCCACCAUCUGCCAGGGCUCCUGACUUUUUCUGAAAUGAAUAGACACUAAAGCCUGCUGGGGAAUUUCAUGGAAAUCAAGAUGACUCAACCCAGAGUCCAUUUCAAGGCUAGGAUGCUAGAGGACGCCAACAAAGGAGUAGGGAAGUGAAACGGAUCAGCUCACAUCCAAGCCCUUGCAUGAUCAAUCCUGCAGUAGGAGUGCUGCUCAGUUGGGACUCAUGAGAGCCCGGAAGAGGAAAAAGCAGCUCUAAGCAUAGCAAAGAAGCUGUUAUGGAAAAGACCCAAAUGUUAAAAUGGUGGACAUAGUAAAGUGAUUGGUUCUGCUUAGGGGAAUCUAGAUCCCCACAUUUUGACCUCCACUGGAGUCUCAGAAGAACAAGUGCCAGGGGGGCUUGCCACAGAGGCCAAGGCAGUGAAUGUCAGGCACAUCACAGUCCCCAAGAUGGGGAGAAGACUGAGAUGCAGGGUAACAACUGCAAUCCAUUCAUGGGAGCCAUGUUUAUCUUAAAUCAUUGACAGUGAGAUAAGGAUCAUGUCAGCCUUCAUACCUUUGAUGAUGAUCCCAGGCUGCAACAGUGACACAUAGAACUGGAUUCAGUAACUAACUACAGAUUCCAUCAACCAGGACUAGUAAAGUGAAAGGCAGAAAUUGGGAGGAGGGGUUUCUUUCUUGCUUAUAAAACUUUAUUUGGUUGUGUUGAGUAUGUGCAUGUAUGUAUGAAAUCCCAUAAAGCAGUCUUCUUAGGAACAAGCCAACAUGCCACAAUGUAGGAGAUCUUUGGAGCACUGGCCUAAAUGGCAGAGAGCUCAAGGGACUCUGCUUUGUACAAGGCAUGAUUUGUACCACCACCACUAUCCCUGUUUCAGAGCACUGUUGAAUUGUUCCAAACCUGGAUUUCUAUGUCAGCUCCCUGUCUAUAGUACUUGACUGAUAAAUGCUAGUUUCUGAAAUCUGCUUUGGUUCUAUAAUUUAUUAGACAGCUUUUUCUUCCCAUUUUAUUACUUGUUUUUACUGUCAUUGGUAUAUUAUCUCUUACAGUGAAAACAUUCAUAGGCUGAUUGAAGAGAAGAUCUGAAAUUAUUAGGCAGCAAGCAUACAAAACCCUUGCUUUAUAAAGAUAAUAUCUUAAAGGCCUAAUGUCUAUGGUUCAAAGCAGCCUGGAGAUGUUGGCUAAAUCUUCCAUCAUAGAGUCCUCAUGGGAUCUGGAAGCUCUGAUUUAUCUUCCUUCAGGCCCUAUAAGUUAGCUUUCCACAUCUGUAGGUUCCACAAUCAACCUUGGAUCAAAAACAUUUGAAA
Molecule: long non-coding RNA, 2270 nt
Filed under: Homo sapiens (human)
Lineage: Eukaryota; Metazoa; Chordata; Mammalia; Primates; Hominidae
Description: HSALNT0172487
Source: RNAcentral